Molecule: ribosomal RNA, 3004 nt
Filed under: Candidatus Poribacteria bacterium
Lineage: Bacteria; Candidatus Poribacteria
Description: bacterial LSU rRNA
Rfam family: Bacterial large subunit ribosomal RNA
Source: RNAcentral
AAAAAAAUUGUUAAGCUACUAAGGGCCUACGGUGGAUGCCUUGGUGCUAGGCGUCGAUGAAGGGCGUGAUAAACUGCGAUAAGCUUUGGGUAAUAGUUCUAUGUGUUGAUCCAAAGAUUCCCGAAUCGGGCAACCGGAUAGACANUUUAAUGUCUAUCGAUUGCGUUUGAAUGAAUGCNAUCGGUAACUGGGGGAAGUGAAACAUCUCAGUACCCCAAGGAANAGAAAGAAAAAUCGAUUCUCUGAGUAGCGGCGAGCGAAAUGGGAAUAGCCUAAACCAAAUAUGUGUGAUAGUCUGCGCACGUUGCAUAUUUGGUGUUGUGGGAUAUAAUCGGAGUGGCGUGCAGGUCACUCGGGAAGUUACAAAUAAGUUUUCUAGCUUAAGAACUCUGGAAUAGGUUCACCAUAGAAGGUGAUAGUCCUGUGAGCGAAAGAAAAUUUACUUCCUGGAUUUUNUUCCCGAGUACCACGGGAUAGCCAAACCUGUGGGAAUCUAGGAGGACCAUCUCCUAAGGCUAAAUAUGACCUAGCAACCGAUAGUGAAAAAGUACUGUGAAGGAAAGGUGAAAAGUUCCCCGGGAGGGAAGUGAAAUAGAACCUGAAACCGUAAUGGCCUACAAGCUGUGGAAGUGCUAGACCAAGCUUUGCUUGGNAUGCAUGACCGCGUGCCUUUUGCAUAAUGAGCCGGUGACUUACUCUGUGUAGCAAGAUUAAGCUUUUCUGAAGCGUAGUCGUAGUGAAAACGAGUCUGAAUAGGGCGNAUAGUUGCAUGGAGUAGACCCGAAACUGGGUGAUCUAUCCAUGGGCAAGGCGAAGCGUAUGUAAAAGUACGUGAAGGCCUGAACCCACCAAGGCUGAAAACUUGGGGGAUGACCUGUGGAUCGGAGUGAAAGGCUAAUCAAACCCAGUAAUAGCUGGUUCUCCCCGAAAUAGCUUUAGGGCUAGCCUUAUGUGUUUAGCGGUGGAGGUAGAGCUCUAAUUGGACUAGCGGCCCUACCAGGUUAGCAACUCCAGUUAAACUACAAAUGCCAUCGUUCCAAAGCAUAGGAGUCAGUCAGUGGGGGAUAAGCUCCAUUGACGAAAGGGAAACAGCCCNGACCGCCAGCUAAGGUCCCUAAAUACNAGUUAAGUGGCAAAGGAUGUUUUGUUACAUAGACAGCCAGGAUGUUGGCUUAGAAGCAGCCAUUCAUUUAAAGAGUGCGUAACAGCUCACUGGUCAAGCGACUUUGCACCGAAAAUUUCAGGGGCUUAAACUUGUUACCGAAGCUGCGGAUUGUCCUCGUUUACGAGGAUAGUGGUAGGGGAGCGUUCUAUAGUAGGUUGAAGGAGAAUUGAAAAACUCUCUGGACAAAUUAGAAGUGAUCAUGCCGGCAUGAGUAGCGAUAAAACAAGUGAGAAGCUUGUUCGCCGUAAGCCUAAGGUUUCCUGUGGAAGGCAAGUCCACACAGGGUUAGUCGCGUCCUAAGUCGAGGCUGAAGAGCGUAGACGAUGGGCAACAGGUUAAUAUUCCUGUACCACCACCAGGCGAUUGAAUCUAGGAGAGACGCAAACAUUAGAAUCUACUAGCGGAUGGAAGUGCUAGGUCAAGCGGACGGAGGUUCCGGUUAAUCCCGGAAAUUACCUCUGAAAGUGAUGAGGUGUCCUUAAGGACUGAACUGAUUCGGUUGUUUGCCAAGAAAAGAACUCCGAGAGGACAAAUGGUGGUGUGCGUACCGCAAACCGACACAGGUAGGCAAGGAGAAUAUCCUAAGGCGCUCGAGAGAACUCUCGCUAAGGAACUCGGCAAAAUGGCUCCGUAACUUCGGGAGAAGGAGCGCUUGAGUUGGCUGGUUCGCCAGUCUAGCGAAAGCCGCAGUGAAAAGGCCCAUACGACUGUUUACUAAAAACACAGGUCUGUGCUAAAUCGUAAGAUGAUGUAUACGGACUGACGCCUGCCCGGUGCUGAAAAGUUAAGGAGAGGGGUUAGAGCUUAGGCUCGAAGCUCUGAACCGAAGCUUCAGUAAACGGCGGCGGUAACUAUAACCGUCCUAAGGUAGCGAAAUUCCUCGUCGGGUAAAAUCCGACCUGCACGAAUGGCGUAACGAUAUGGGCACUGUCUCAGCGAGAGACUCGGUGAAAUUGUAUUAUCGGUGAAGAUGCCGAUUACCCGUAAAAAGACGGAAAGACCCCGUGAACCUUUACUAUAGCUUGAUAUUGAAUUUGGAUUUAGCUUGUGUAGGAUAGGUGGGAGACUUUGAAGCUGGAGCGCUAGCCCCAGUGGAGUCGUCCUUGAAAUACCACUCUUGUUGUAUCUAAAUCCUAACUCUGGUUUGUAUAUCCAAGCCGAGGACAGUGUCAGGUGGGUAGUUUGACUGGGGCGGUCGCCUCCUAAAGCGUAACGGAGGCGCCCUAAGGUUCCCUCAGCGUGAUUGGAAACCACGCGUAGAGUGUAAAGGCAUAAGGGAGCUUGACUGCAAGACAGACAUGUCGAGCAGGUGCGAAAGCAGGGCUUAGUGAUCUUGCGAUUCCGUGUGGAAGGGUCGUAACUCAACGGAUAAAAGGUACUCCGGGGAUAACAGGCUUAUCGCGCCCAAGCGCUCACAGCGACGGCGCGGUUUGGCACCUCGAUGUCGGCUCAUCACAUCCUGGGGCUGCAGCAGGUCCCAAGGGUUGGGCUGUUCGCCCAUUAAAGUGGUACGUGAGCUGGGUUUAGAACGUCGUAAGACAGUUCGGUCCCUAUCUUUUACGGGCGUAGGAAAUUUGAGUGGAGCUGCCGCUAGUAUGAGAAGACCGUGGUGGACGAACCUCUGGUGCACCAGUUGUCACGCCUGUGGCAUCGCUGGGUAGCUAUGUUCGGAAGGGAUAAAUGCUGAAAGCAUCUAAGCAUGAAGCCUUCCUCAAGAUAAGAUUUCCCACAGAGUUAAUCUGGUAAGACCCCUUGUAGAUAACGAGGUUGAUAGGCCAANUGUGUAAGCGCGGUGACGUGUUUAGCUAANUGGUACUAAUNGGUCGAGGGCUUAACUUA